UUCUUGCCGCUACAUUUUUGUUUCCCUCUCCCAAAUUUGGACACCAAAACCCUAAAUUCCUUUCCUUCCCGAACCCGUCCCUCUCCACCUGCGAUCUCUUCACAUGGGUCGUUCGCCCGUUCGCGGAUAUCCACCCAUGAACGGAAGUUGCGUUGAAUCCCCAAACGUCGUCGUCUCUGCCAUGAUGAAGAGUAGUAGGGGGAGGAGAGCGACAAUGGUGGAGGAAUUGAAGAAACGGAAGUUUAAAGAAGAUUCUAUCAAUAGACAUGUUUCUCAUCUUGAUUCCGCCUCUUGGAUCUGUUUCCUUCUUGACCCCCUCAAAAAAGACUAGCUCGUUGAUCUCCAGCGCCAUCACUCAGGAAAUGGAACACCAAUGCCGACAGCAGCAAUGAGUCACACCCGGUGGUGGCACCGCAAGCGCAGACGGAUAAGCGGGCCAAGAUGGUAAGGGAUACGGAAGAUGCUGAUUUGGACAAAAGGUGACCUUGUUCUUUGGCUCACAGAUCGACACCGCCGAGAGGUGAUAUUGAUAGUGAACAGCAUAGUGAAAUUGAAUCUGCUGCUGAACAACUCUAUGGUCUUAUACAUGCUCUUUAUAUUGUAACUAGUAGAGGACUAAAUGCAAUGGUGAAAUAGAUAUUUUUGCUCUUAUCUAUUUGUGAAAGCAUAGAGAAGUGAAUAUUAACAAUGUAAUGACGAAAUAGAUAAUCUUGUUAUGGGAGUGCUAA
Long non-coding RNA from Zingiber officinale, 728 nucleotides. RefSeq lists it as uncharacterized. NCBI's taxonomy places the organism in Eukaryota, Viridiplantae, Streptophyta, Magnoliopsida, Zingiberales, Zingiberaceae. The transcript is spliced from 2 exons. The record is from RefSeq and is a predicted model, not a curated record.